UACAGAGGGGGCAAGCGUUGUUCGGAAUUACUGGGCGUAAAGGGCGCGUAGGCGGCCUGCUAAGUCGAUCGUGAAAUCCCUCGGCUUAACCGGGGAACUGCGUCUGAUACUGGAUGGCUUGAGUUCGGGAGAGGGAUGCGGAAUUCCAGGUGUAGCGGUGAAAUGCGUAGAUAUCUGGAGGAACACCGGUGGCGAAGGCGGCAUCCUGGACCGAUACUGACGCUGAGGAGCGAAAGCCAGGGGAGCAAACGGG
Molecule: ribosomal RNA, 253 nt
Filed under: uncultured bacterium
Lineage: Bacteria
Description: partial 16S ribosomal RNA
Rfam family: Bacterial small subunit ribosomal RNA
Source: RNAcentral